RNAcentral lists this long non-coding RNA (2340 nucleotides) under Eucalyptus grandis. RNAcentral describes it as "long non-coding RNA (EGRA_LNC001245)". Lineage: Eukaryota; Viridiplantae; Streptophyta; Magnoliopsida; Myrtales; Myrtaceae. The record is from RNAcentral.
CAAGGACUUGUGUGAUACAAAAGAUAAUGAAGUGGCUCUCUCUUAGUUUCUAGUUCUAGUUCUCUCAACUCACGUUUUCUCUCUUUUAGUUCUAGUCGUUAUAUAUAUUUACAAGGUUGAGAACUCUUGCCUAUUUAUAGGCAAGUUUCAUUGACUACAAGCAUGGCAAUUUUGACUUUUUCACCGCCAUAGUGUUGCUUGGAGACAACUCAUUUUCUUCUUCUUCAAGUACUCUUGCUGCCCACGUAGUACCAGAAGCUUCUCCACCACAUGAGUCUUCAACUUUGACUUGGAUUUGCCUUUUCUUGCAUUUCACGUGCACUGUUGCCGACUUGAAGUGCCGACUUAGACGAAUUGUUGCUGCCAUCUCUUUCCUUCUUUGUUAAGCAUACUUCAUUCCUAAGCAUAUGUAGGCUAGUGUGUUCUAGGACUUUCAAAAAUUGGAUCACUUUUUAACAGUUAAAUAUAUAUUAUGUGAAUCUGAAAGUCAAGACAAUAUAGAAACAAGAGGCAGCAAUUGAAUUCUGAGCGGGUACAAACUAUAUACACAUGUACUUGCAUUACUUUGUUGUAAUGAGGGACGGAGGGUGAUUUAUUGGCAAGAGGCAACAAAAUUAAUUAUUGCGAUAAGUAAGUGAUUGAAUAAUAAAAUAAAUAUAAUGAGGAAUUAAUUCAAAUGUCAAAUUUACGUAAUUCGAUCAGUGUAAUUAAUAUUUAUGGGGAGAGCAACAUAUCACACUUGAAUCAUUUAAACACUUUCAUAAUUUUCUAGUCUCUAAUUACACUCAAUAGCACUUAAUGUGUUUAACGCCACAAUUCCCGCGGAAAUCACUUUUCAAUCUCACAAAGGAAUUGUUAAACUUAUCACAAGAUUUAUGGGCUUCAACACUCUCAAAUUAUUUCAGGAUGUAAUUCACAAAAAAAAAAAAAAACUCUUGGAUACUCUUCAUAUAGAAAUUCUUAUAUAUAGCCAAGAGUUAACUUUUUUAUUCCAUUAUUUACUGCCAAUAUUUCCUUGAAAGUAAACCCCCUUUAGGAUAAGGUCUUUUCUCUAGUAAAGAUUGUCCCAGCAGUCUUAAAGAGAAUAUGGCGAAUGAAUUUCGCAUCCCUGUGUUAGAUAGGACGGGUAAAUACCUAGGAAUCCCGUCUGAUUGGGGACGUUCUAAGAGAGAUAUGUUUGCCUGGAUACUGGCAAGAGUGAAUAGAAAACUGGAAGGAUGGAAAGAAAACCUGAUUUCGAAGGGAGGAAAGGAGAUUCUCAUCAAGGGCGUCGUUCAGGCGAUACCACAUUAUGCUAUGUCUAUCUUUAAGAUUCCUCACUCACUAUGUCAGUCCAUAGAAAAAAAGAUAGCAAGCUUCUGGUGGAAGAACAAUAGUCAACGGCAAGGCAUACAUUGGAAAGACUGGAACAUUCUUAAAAACAGGAAGGAGUUGGGAGGUCUUGGUUUUACAGAUCUCAUUGCUUUUAAUAGAGCAAUGCUAGGCAAACAAGCCUGGCGCUUGCUUCAGCAACCUUCAUCUCUGUGGACUCAACUAUUCAAAGGUCUAUAUUUCCAUUCGCAAGAUUUUCUAUGCGCUGCCAAAGGAGCUCGGCCUUCCUGGGGUUGGCGGAGUAUUCUAUUGGGACGGGAGUCUAUUUUAUCAAAGCUGCAAUGGUCUGUUGGUGAUGGGACUCACAUCAAAAUACAUGAGGAUCAGUGGUUAUCUAGGGGAAAACUAGUCGGACCUGCUGCUAGAGACGAACCUAAGAUGGUCGCUGAACUGAUUGAACCGGAACAUAACCGAUGGGAUGUUUCCUUACUGCAUCGCUUUUUUGACGUUGAGACAACAACAGAAAUCCAGGCAAUCCCAAUUAGGCCACAUCAUACAGCAGAUCAGUUGAUUUGGACAGAUGAUCCUCACGGACAGUACUCGGUUAAGCGAGGAUAUCAUACUAUCAGACGCACAGCAUCUACCACUAAUGAGAACAGAGCCUCCUCAUCUUAUCAACCACCUAACUUACUCUGGAAAAGUAUAUGGAAACUUCAUCUCCCACCCAAAAUUAGGAUUUUUCUAUGGUCCAUUUGUCAAAACGCUCUUCCUACCAGAGAUAACCUAUUUCAGAGACAUAUUAGCCCAGACCCAGUGUGUGCAUUAUGCGCUACCCACAUGCCAGAAACGCUGGAACAUUUGUUUCUUCUAUGCCCAUGGACUUUAAAGGUCUGGUCUCACCCACAAAUCGGCAUUCACAUCAUACCAACAGAAAUUCGUCGUAUAGACGCUUGGAUAGAAGACAGACUUACUCAGCACAGGAACUCACCUGGUCUGGACAUUGUAGGCGCUCUCCUGUGGCAAAUCUGG